This 395-nucleotide ribosomal RNA is filed under the name uncultured bacterium. RNAcentral's name for it is "partial 16S ribosomal RNA". It matches the Rfam family "Bacterial small subunit ribosomal RNA", at positions 338 to 730 of the family's 1533-position model. The record is from RNAcentral.
CCUACGGGUGGCAGCAGUGAGGAAUAUUGGUCAAUGGGCGCGAGCCUGAACCAGCCAAGUCGCGUGAAGGAUGACUGCCCUACGGGUUGUAAACUUCUUUUAUAAAGGAAUAAAGUGAGGCACGUGUCCCUUUUUGUGUGUACUUUAUGAAUAAGGAUCGGCUAACUCCGUGCCAGCAGCCGUGGUAAUACGGAGGAUCCGAGCGUUAUCCGGAUUUAUUGGGUUUAAAGGGAGCGUAGAUGGGUUGUUAAGUCAGUUGUUAAAGUUUGCGGCUCAACCGUAAUAUUGCAGUUGAUACUGGGUGUCUUGAGUGGAGUUGAGGUACGCGAAAUUCGUGGUGUAGCGGUGAAAUGCUUAGAUAUCACGAAGAACUCCGAUUGCGAAGGCAGCUUACU